RNAcentral lists this unclassified non-coding RNA (221 nucleotides) under Hevea brasiliensis (rubber tree). Lineage: Eukaryota; Viridiplantae; Streptophyta; Magnoliopsida; Malpighiales; Euphorbiaceae. The record is from RNAcentral.
CACCACAGCUGCAUACCACACAUAAUUCAUCGCGAUAUGAAGUCCAGUAAUGUACUUUUAGACGAAAACUUUGAGGCGCGAGUUUCUGAUUUUGGAAUGGCAAGGCUGGUAAAUGCUCUGGAUACUCAUUUAAGUGUGAGUACACUUGCUGGUACUCCAGGUUAUGUUCCUCCAGAGUACUACCAAAGUUUCAGGUGCACCGCAAAAGGGGACGUGUACAG